Small nuclear RNA from Anolis carolinensis (green anole), 182 nucleotides. Its record names the gene U2. It matches the Rfam family "U2 spliceosomal RNA". Rfam says of the family: U2 is a small nuclear RNA (snRNA) component of the spliceosome (involved in pre-mRNA splicing). Complementary binding between U2 snRNA (in an area lying towards the 5' end but 3' to hairpin I) and the branchpoint sequence (BPS) of the intron results the bulging out of an unpaired adenosine, on the BPS, which initiates a nucleophilic attack at the intronic 5' splice site, thus starting the first of two transesterification reactions that mediate splicing. The record is from Ensembl. NCBI's taxonomy places the organism in Eukaryota, Metazoa, Chordata, Lepidosauria, Squamata, Anolidae.
CUAUUUUCGACCUUUUGGCUAAGAUCAAGAGAAGUAUCUGUUCUUAUUAGUUUAAUAUCUGAUACAUCUUCUAUUUGAGGACUAUAUAUUAAAUGGAUUUUUGGGCCUGGGAGAUGGAAUAGGGGUUUGCUCCAUCCACUCCACGCAUCAACUUGGCUGGUUAGUAGCCAGCUGCAAUAAAU